UUGGAAUAAGCAAAAUAAAGAGGGUUGGAAAAUAUUUUCAGUUAAACUUGUCGUUGGAUCCCGAAUUGAAAAACCCUUCUUUUAGGGUUUUAUCGCUGCUGAAGCUUAGCCUCACCCUUUUCCGUAGAGAAACGUAGUCCCUGAUGCCCUCACCGCCUUCAUCUUUUUCCUUUCUUCAGCCUAAAUAGCCAAUUUAGUAGCAAUAACUUUCUAAAGAUUAAGGCAUGCAUGCAUGUAGUAGCAGGUAAUGUUAUAUUUGAUAUGAAAAUUGGAAAUGGGAAGUAAAUGUUCAUGGAUUCUAUGGAUAUUGACCUGUACGUUUCAAGGUGACAUCUGGCGUGAUGCAGGUGCUGAAGAAGUGCGUGCUUAAAGUGAAAUGCGCAGUGGUAACAAAAUUGAUUCUUGCUUGUUUAUGUCUAUUCUUAAUUAUGUUCUAAAAUAGGUUUAUGUCUAUAAAUAUUAAUUGCUUGAGAAUGUUUUCCAUUUGAAUAUUGAUUGAUAAGAUCAACAAUUUUGUUGAGCUUGAGCUAUUCUGCAACUUGAUUAGGUUAAGAAAACGCUGGAUGAGCAUGUCAUGCUGAGUUUAUAAAGAAAUGAGGCCAAACUAGCUCGUCUAUACAUGUAUUAGAUUUUUCCUUAUUUCUUAUAUGUUUGAAAAGAAACCGUUAAAAUAAUGC
Manihot esculenta (cassava) is the source of this 677-nucleotide long non-coding RNA. RefSeq lists it as uncharacterized. NCBI's taxonomy places the organism in Eukaryota, Viridiplantae, Streptophyta, Magnoliopsida, Malpighiales, Euphorbiaceae. The record is from RefSeq and is a predicted model, not a curated record. The transcript is spliced from 2 exons.